This 21-nucleotide non-coding RNA is filed under the name Arabidopsis thaliana (thale cress). The record is from RNAcentral. Lineage: Eukaryota; Viridiplantae; Streptophyta; Magnoliopsida; Brassicales; Brassicaceae.
CUGAUCUGGAAUGUCAGAUGC